CAUUGGUGGGAUGAUAUUUGUUUUCGGAAAAUAAUGAUGUCGACUAUAAUAAUCAGACUACAAUUAUCUGAUCAAUG
Tripterygium wilfordii is the source of this 77-nucleotide small nucleolar RNA. RefSeq annotates it as small nucleolar RNA Z155. NCBI's taxonomy places the organism in Eukaryota, Viridiplantae, Streptophyta, Magnoliopsida, Celastrales, Celastraceae. The record is from RefSeq and is a predicted model, not a curated record. The transcript has a single exon.